GGUGAGUAACGCGUAAGUAAUCAACCCAUGACAGAAGGAUAACUAAGAGAAAUUUUAGCUAAAACUUCAUAAAUUAAUACUACGGGAGUAGAAUUAAAGAAAACUGAGGUGGUCAUGGACGAGCUUGCGACUGAUUAGCCAGUUGGUGAGGUAACGGCCCACCAAAGCAACGAUCAGUAGCCGACCUGAGAGGGUGAUCGGUCACAUUGGUACUGAGAACGGACCAAACUCC
Molecule: ribosomal RNA, 232 nt
Filed under: uncultured bacterium
Lineage: Bacteria
Description: partial 16S ribosomal RNA
Rfam family: Bacterial small subunit ribosomal RNA
Source: RNAcentral